Hyaena hyaena (striped hyena) is the source of this 624-nucleotide long non-coding RNA. RefSeq lists it as uncharacterized. NCBI's taxonomy places the organism in Eukaryota, Metazoa, Chordata, Mammalia, Carnivora, Hyaenidae. The transcript has 2 exons. The record is from RefSeq and is a predicted model, not a curated record.
CCCAUAGCACACUUGGGCUUUUACUGCUGCCUUUUGUAUUUCUCAAGUCACAUCUAUUAAAACCUCUCCACUGUGUAAGCUCUGUACCACCUCUGCAUCUUACUCCCUGAAGAUAACUUCAUCUCUACAGUACAGAGAUACGUAGAAGCACUGGGAUCAAACUCUCUUAACUCUCUGAACUCAUAAACUUACCUGGAGUUGAAGUGAUUCCUGCCUGCUUUGUACCUGUCACAAUGGAAUGUCUUCACAUCAGGCUAAUCGUUCUUCUAGCCAUGGCGUGAUUCCAUCAACCCCAACCUUCUCAGAGGGACAAGAACCUUGUGCAAGAUCCAAAACAACAGUAUUUAUCAGCAUCUUGGAAAUUUCCCAGGGGGGUUAUCCCUGUCUAUUGCCAAUUCUGGCUUGGUGCAAAGUUGGGGAAUUCUGGGACUGGAGGGAAGCUGGAAAUAGGAGAAUGUGUGUGAAGCUCCUCCAUGCAAUCAGGAGUGUCCUGGGGUGCCUUGGGAACGCAUUGAAGAAAUAACGCUAUCAGCUGCGAGUCCCCUGGAAUGUCUCACUCACCACUGUAUCAUUUAGCAAAAUGCCCGGUAACAGCUGGAGCUCAGUAAAUGCUCACUGAAUGAA